Ribosomal RNA from Gorilla gorilla gorilla (western lowland gorilla), 121 nucleotides. The record is from Ensembl. NCBI's taxonomy places the organism in Eukaryota, Metazoa, Chordata, Mammalia, Primates, Hominidae.
GUCUACAGCCGUAACACCCUGAAUGCACCUGAUCUUGUCUGAUCUCAGAAGCUAAGCGGGGUCAGGCCUGGUUAGUAUCUUGGAUGGGAGAUACUAGCGUAGGAUAGAGUGGAUGCAGAUA